GAUGAAGAACGCAGCGAAAUGCGAUAAGUAAUGCGAAUUGCAGAAUUUCCGUGAGUCAUCGAAUCUUUGAACGCACAUUGCGCCCACUGGUAUUCCGGUGGGCAUGCCUGUUCGAGCGUCAUUAUCCUCCCUCAAACCUCGGGUUUGGUGUUGGACCCAAGUUGUGUGAACAACUGGUCUCAAAGACAAUGACGGCGUCCGUGGGACCCUCGGUGCAACGAGCUUUUAGGAGCACGCGUCGAGUUUCAAGGACCUUCCGGGCCGGUCUCCUUUACUAUUUUUACAAGGUUGACCUCGGAUCAGGUAGGAAUACCCGCUGAACUUAAGCAUAUCAAUAAGCGGAGGA
RNAcentral lists this unclassified non-coding RNA (346 nucleotides) under soil metagenome. Its description in RNAcentral is "partial contains 5.8S ribosomal RNA, internal transcribed spacer 2, and large subunit ribosomal RNA". The stretch from base 1 to 121 matches the Rfam family "5.8S ribosomal RNA", at positions 35 to 154 of the family's 154-position model. The record is from RNAcentral.